This is a long non-coding RNA of Homo sapiens (human), 674 nucleotides long. Ensembl annotates it as GPRC5D and HEBP1 antisense RNA 1. Its record names the gene GPRC5D-AS1. Lineage: Eukaryota; Metazoa; Chordata; Mammalia; Primates; Hominidae. The record is from Ensembl.
AGCCUACACCAAGGGAAGAGUCAGGGGAGAAGGAACACAAGACUCCGGAAGCAUGCCAGCGUAUAAAACCACACUUUGCCUCAUUGGUUCGUGCCUCAGCUUCCAAUCUGGACAUGGAGCACAAUAACAGUGGGCCCACUGCUCUCCGAAUUCCUGCGCGCACUUGAAGAAUCAGAAAUAACACAAACCACUGCAGGGUAAUUUUGAAUGCUCAUUUGACUAUGCAGUGACAUCAAGUGGCGAGUUGAGGAAUGAUCAUAUGCUGUGUGAGAACUCCGUGUUAAAAAUUCCAUGGAGCCAGGCUAGACACCACAUUUGGCACUUUCAGCUGUUUAGAUUUCAGAGAAUUAAAAGGAAAUGGUCACCGACCUGCCUUUGAUAGUACCCGUAUACCCCUUCCCACCAUAAGAAACCAGCGUUCCUUAGAGAAAUGGCUAAUUCUAGCUCUAGGGCAAGAAAUGCUAAGAUGUGCUCAAAACAUCUCAUUAUACCAGCAAGCCAGGGAGCCAUCAACGACUACUGGAGCUGUGUCAAAAGGACCAACAAACCAACUUGAAGAGGCUCCCGCUGGCCAACAGUGGGGCAAUUAGAGCAUCAAUAAGAAUAAUAUCUGUAACAAACUGAAACGUAUCAAAUAUGUUUAAAUUCAUAUGUUUAUAAUUACACUCAAAAAA